GAUGAACGCUGGCGGCGUGCCUAAUACAUGCAAGUCGAGCGAACGGACGAGAAGCUUGCUUCUCUGAUGUUAGCGGCGGACGGGUGAGUAACACGUGGAUAACCUACCUAUAAGACUGGGAUAACUUCGGGAAACCGGAGCUAAUACCGGAUAAUAUUUUGAACCGCAUGGUUCAAAAGUGAAAGACGGUCUUGCUGUCACUUAUAGAUGGAUCCGCGCUGCAUUAGCUAGUUGGUAAGGUAACGGCUUACCAAGGCAACGAUGCAUAGCCGACCUGAGAGGGUGAUCGGCCACACUGGAACUGAGACACGGUCCAGACUCCUACGGGAGGCAGCAGUAGGGAAUCUUCCGCAAUGGGCGAAAGCCUGACGGAGCAACGCCGCGUGAGUGAUGAAGGUCUUCGGAUCGUAAAACUCUGUUAUUAGGGAAGAACAUAUGUGUAAGUAACUGUGCACAUCUUGACGGUACCUAAUCAGAAAGCCACGGCUAACUACGUGCCAGCAGCCGCGGUAAUACGUAGGUGGCAAGCGUUAUCCGGAAUUAUUGGGCGUAAAGCGCGCGUAGGCGGUUUUUUAAGUCUGAUGUGAAAGCCCACGGCUCAACCGUGGAGGGUCAUUGGAAACUGGAAAACUUGAGUGCAGAAGAGGAAAGUGGAAUUCCAUGUGUAGCGGUGAAAUGCGCAGAGAUAUGGAGGAACACCAGUGGCGAAGGCGACUUUCUGGUCUGUAACUGACGCUGAUGUGCGAAAGCGUGGGGAUCAAACAGGAUUAGAUACCCUGGUAGUCCACGCCGUAAACGAUGAGUGCUAAGUGUUAGGGGGUUUCCGCCCCUUAGUGCUGCAGCUAACGCAUUAAGCACUCCGCCUGGGGAGUACGACCGCAAGGUUGAAACUCAAAGGAAUUGACGGGGACCCGCACAAGCGGUGGAGCAUGUGGUUUAAUUCGAAGCAACGCGAAGAACCUUACCAAAUCUUGACAUCCUUUGACAACUCUAGAGAUAGAGCCUUCCCCUUCGGGGGACAAAGUGACAGGUGGUGCAUGGUUGUCGUCAGCUCGUGUCGUGAGAUGUUGGGUUAAGUCCCGCAACGAGCGCAACCCUUAAGCUUAGUUGCCAUCAUUAAGUUGGGCACUCUAAGUUGACUGCCGGUGACAAACCGGAGGAAGGUGGGGAUGACGUCAAAUCAUCAUGCCCCUUAUGAUUUGGGCUACACACGUGCUACAAUGGACAAUACAAAGGGCAGCGAAACCGUGAGGUCAAGCAAAUCCCAUAAAGUUGUUCUCAGUUCGGAUUGUAGUCUGCAACUCGACUACAUGAAGCUGGAAUCGCUAGUAAUCGUAGAUCGGCAUGCUACGGUGAAUACGUUCCCGGGUCU
This 1372-nucleotide ribosomal RNA is filed under the name uncultured bacterium. RNAcentral's name for it is "bacterial SSU rRNA". It matches the Rfam family "Bacterial small subunit ribosomal RNA", at positions 28 to 1381 of the family's 1533-position model. The record is from RNAcentral.